UGAUGUGGUUGUUAUCAUAAAGUAGAAAAAGAUAUUUUGUGUUCCAAUCAAAUCAUUUAAUCAUCCACCGGUGUUCCUGGAAGACUAAGUCUUUGUUUAUCUAAGAACCAAAUUCCCAACAAAAAGACAAGGCGGCCGCCAGCAGCAGCCUUAGCUUCCAUGGAAAAGCUUCAGAGGCUUAAUUGGCAAAACGAGCACGAUGUUGUGGUUGACAGAAGAUAGAGAGCACAAAUGAACAUAUACACCCAGUCACCCAGACCCAGGAAAAUGAUUGUGUAUGAUCAGUUUUGUGCUCUCUUUUCUUCUGCCAACAUAUUAUAUAUAUUAUGAUCUUCCUGCAGUUCCAGUUCCAGAAAUAUGCAGAUAUGCCCUUCGUUACCGAUGCUAUAUAUUCUUCUUAUAUAAUAUGAUCUUCCAAAGAAGGUAAGAGUUAGUGAUUACAUGUAUAUAUAUAUAUAUAUAGUCUCAUGAUCUUAGUGAUUACAUGUAUAUAUAAGCUCAGAUUAAUUGCACGGAGCAGCAAUUCUUUCUUGGCUCAAGCUCAAGUGCAAUGCAAUGGAUGUCAGGGUUGGAGCUCAGAUGGGUCAAAACACAACACGUACGUUCUUGCUCUUGAGGAGCAGCAGCGUUGUUUGAACUUUGCUACAGAUAAUGAAUGCUGCUGCAAGGGGUUGCCAGAUCUCUCUAGUUUGUUGGUUUUCAUACUUGGGGAAAUGUUGUCUUUGGAUUCUAUAACUAUCAAUUGAUGGAGAGAGAGGCUUCUUCUCUUCUUCAAUCGAUCGAUCGAUCAAUCAAUCAAUCAAGGCUAUGUGUAUAUAUAUCACUCAGUUAGUCAUUCAGUCACAUGAUCGGUUCACUGUUCAUCCAUCUUAUCUUAAUUGGUUUUACAGAA
This is a long non-coding RNA of Prunus dulcis (almond), 892 nucleotides long. RefSeq lists it as uncharacterized. The record is from RefSeq and is a predicted model, not a curated record. Lineage: Eukaryota; Viridiplantae; Streptophyta; Magnoliopsida; Rosales; Rosaceae. The transcript has 2 exons.